Mycena filopes is the source of this 102-nucleotide non-coding RNA. NCBI's taxonomy places the organism in Eukaryota, Fungi, Basidiomycota, Agaricomycetes, Agaricales, Mycenaceae. The record is from the annotation of a GenBank genome assembly.
CCGACUUUAGCUCAGUUGGAAGAGCAUCAGACUGUAACUGGAUACCACAUACCGUAAUGAGGGAAUAUCUGAGGGUCGUCUGUUCGAACCAGACAAGUCGGA